UAAGGAAUAUUGGACAAUGGGCGAAAGCCUGAUCCAGCAAUGCCGCGUGAGUGAUGAAGGCCCUAGGGUUGUAAAGCUCUUUUACCCGGGAUGAUAAUGACAGUACCGGGAGAAUAAGCUCCGGCUAACUUCGUGCCAGCAGCCGCGGUAAUACGAGGGGAGCUAGCGUUGUUCGGAAUUACUGGGCGUAAAGCGCGCGUAGGCGGUUUUUUAAGUCAGAGGUGAAAGCCCGGGGCUCAACCCCGGAAUAGCCUUUGAAACUGGAAAACUAGAAUCUUGGAGAGGUCAGUGGAAUUCCGAGUGUAGAGGUGAAAUUCGUAGAUAUUCGGAAGAACACCAGUGGCGAAGGCGACUGACUGGACAAGUAUUGACGCUGAGGUGCGAAAGCGUGGGGAGCAAACA
This 402-nucleotide ribosomal RNA is filed under the name uncultured bacterium. Its description in RNAcentral is "bacterial SSU rRNA". It matches the Rfam family "Bacterial small subunit ribosomal RNA", at positions 355 to 774 of the family's 1533-position model. The record is from RNAcentral.